CCCUUAGAUGUCCUGGGCCGCACGCGCGCUACACUGACGGAGCCAGCGAGCUUACCCCUUUGCCGAAAGGCAUGGGAAAUCUUUUGAAUCUCCGUCGUGCUGGGGAUAGAUCAUUGCAAUUAUUGAUCUUGGACGAGGAAUUCCUAGUAAGCGCAAGUCAUCAACUUGCGUUGAUUACGUCCCUGCCCUUUGUACACACCGCCCGUCGCUCCUACCGAUUGAAUGUUCCGGUGAACACUUUGGAAUAGUGCCUUUGUAUGGGGAAACUUGUACUUGGAUACUGUAAAGUUGUGUAAACCUUAACAUUUAGAGGAAGGAGAAGUCGUAACA
RNAcentral lists this ribosomal RNA (330 nucleotides) under uncultured eukaryote. RNAcentral's name for it is "partial 18S ribosomal RNA". It matches the Rfam family "Eukaryotic small subunit ribosomal RNA", at positions 1470 to 1796 of the family's 1831-position model. The record is from RNAcentral.